GCCCCGUUCGUCUAGUGGCCUAGGACGCCGGCCUCUCACGCCGGUAACACGGGUUCAAAUCCCGUACGGGGUACAA
Molecule: transfer RNA, 76 nt
Filed under: Corynebacterium glutamicum
Lineage: Bacteria; Bacillati; Actinomycetota; Actinomycetes; Mycobacteriales; Corynebacteriaceae
Also listed under: 2 other names
Description: tRNA-Glu
Rfam family: tRNA
About the family: Transfer RNA (tRNA) molecules are approximately 80 nucleotides in length. Their secondary structure includes four short double-helical elements and three loops (D, anti-codon, and T loops). Further hydrogen bonds mediate the characteristic L-shaped molecular structure. tRNAs have two regions of fundamental functional importance: the anti-codon, which is responsible for specific mRNA codon recognition, and the 3' end, to which the tRNAs corresponding amino acid is attached (by aminoacyl-tRNA synthetases). tRNAs cope with the degeneracy of the genetic code in two manners: having more than one tRNA (with a specific anti-codon) for a particular amino acid; and 'wobble' base-pairing, i.e. permitting non-standard base-pairing at the 3rd anti-codon position.
Source: RNAcentral